CAGCAGCCGCGGGAAUACGUAGGUGGCAAGCGUUGUCCGGAAUUAUUGGGCGUAAAGGGCUCGCAGGCGGUUUCUUAAGUCUGAUGUGAAAGCCCCCGGCUCAACCGGGGAGGGUCAUUGGAAACUGGGAACCUUGAGUGCAGAAGAGGAGAGUGGAAUUCCACGUGUAGCGGUGAAAUGCGUAGAGAUGUGGAGGAACACCAGUGGCGAAGGCGACUCUCUGGUCUGUAACUGACGCUGAGGAGCGAAAGCGUGGGGAGCGAACAGGAUUAGAUACCCCUGUAGUCCCUGUCUCUUAUAC
Molecule: ribosomal RNA, 301 nt
Filed under: uncultured bacterium
Lineage: Bacteria
Description: partial 16S ribosomal RNA
Rfam family: Bacterial small subunit ribosomal RNA
Source: RNAcentral